CCAGGUCGCCAAAGUCAAGCAUCGAACUAAUUUGCAAAUGCACAUUUAACUUUUUAAUCCCUACAAAGUUGCUCUUGGCCCUACCAGCCAAGAGAAAAUACAAAAAUACCCUUUCUUGAUUUUGAUUCGUCAAUGCUAAUGUCCUUAGUCAAACAACCAUCGCUAUCAGCUUAGAAAAUCAGGCCAAGGAAAAGAAUGAGGGAGUGAAGCCAUUUCAGACUUGCUAGGGCUUGAACCCUUUUUUUC
RNAcentral lists this long non-coding RNA (246 nucleotides) under Glycine max (soybean). RNAcentral describes it as "long non-coding RNA (GMAX_LNC004571)". The record is from RNAcentral. Lineage: Eukaryota; Viridiplantae; Streptophyta; Magnoliopsida; Fabales; Fabaceae.